AGACGGGGCUCUGGAGAGUUUCUCUUGAUGAUGAAGGGAACACCAAAGGGGAAGCCGCGAGGCAAAUCUCUCAGGUUCAAGGACAGAGGAAGUGCG
RNAcentral lists this non-coding RNA (96 nucleotides) under Acididesulfobacillus acetoxydans. Its description in RNAcentral is "Glycine". It matches the Rfam family "Glycine riboswitch aptamer". From Rfam's summary of the family: This family represents the bacterial glycine riboswitch. Glycine riboswitches usually consist of two metabolite-binding aptamers domains with similar structures in tandem. The record is from RNAcentral. Lineage: Bacteria; Bacillati; Bacillota; Clostridia; Eubacteriales; Peptococcaceae.